GAAAUAUGAUAACAAGAAUGAGCUUCUAACUCUUUUCUUAAGCGAUGAAAAUUCGUUUAUAUUUCU
Molecule: transfer RNA, 66 nt
Filed under: Disteniazteca fimbriata
Lineage: Eukaryota; Metazoa; Arthropoda; Insecta; Coleoptera; Cerambycidae
Description: tRNA-Ser
Source: RNAcentral